RNAcentral lists this long non-coding RNA (240 nucleotides) under Phoenix dactylifera (date palm). RNAcentral describes it as "long non-coding RNA (PDAC_LNC002376)". Lineage: Eukaryota; Viridiplantae; Streptophyta; Magnoliopsida; Arecales; Arecaceae. The record is from RNAcentral.
GAGGCCAAUUGCACCCAUUUGAUCUCAUGCACGUCUCCCUCCGUGCAGAUAUUGCUCUUUUUGGGAUCCCCCCUCUUGUUGUCCCUUUGCUUUUCUUUUCCCAGCAAUAAUUGGAGCUGCGUGCCGCUCCAAAAACUUUGAGGGCAUGUGUUUGUUGCCCAUGCCAUGCCAUGCCAGCUUCCUUAGGCUGUCCACAUGCAUGCCCUUUCGCAGCUUAAAGGUACAAGGUGCUCAGCCCUC